This 429-nucleotide ribosomal RNA is filed under the name Bacteroidota bacterium. RNAcentral's name for it is "Bacteroidetes bacterium partial 16S ribosomal RNA". It matches the Rfam family "Bacterial small subunit ribosomal RNA", at positions 355 to 776 of the family's 1533-position model. The record is from RNAcentral. Lineage: Bacteria; Pseudomonadati; Bacteroidota.
UAGGGAAUCUUCGGCAAUGGGGGGAACCCUGACCGAGCAACGCCGCGUGAGUGAAGAAGGUUUUCGGAUCGUAAAGCUCUGUUGUUAAGGAAGAACGAGUGUGAGAAUGGAAAGUUCAUACUGUGACGGUACUUAACCAGAAAGGGACGGCUAACUACGUGCCAGCAGCCGCGGUAAUACGUAGGUCCCGAGCGUUGUCCGGAUUUAUUGGGCGUAAAGCGAGCGCAGGCGGUUAGAUAAGUCUGAAGUUAAAGGCAGUGGCUCAACCAUUGUAGGCUUUGGAAACUGUUUAACUUGAGUGCAGAAGGGGAGAGUGGAAUUCCAUGUGUAGCGGUGAAUUGCGUAGAUAUAUGGAGGAACACCGGUGGCGAAAGCGGCUAUCUGGUCUGUAACUGACGCUGAGGCUCGAAAGCGUAGGGAGCGAACAGG